Molecule: non-coding RNA, 12023 nt
Organism: Podarcis lilfordi (Lilford's wall lizard)
Lineage: Eukaryota; Metazoa; Chordata; Lepidosauria; Squamata; Lacertidae
Source: the annotation of a GenBank genome assembly
GUUUUUUUAAAACCUCUUUUUUGUUUUGUUUUUAUAAAAGAAAUCAUAAUGAGGGAGUGAUCAUUGCCUUCAAAUCUAAGCCUCUGCUUUGUGGCUGGUUGCCUAGAGGGAAAAGGACCAGCCUGCAGCAUGGAAGGAAUUAAAAAAGGCUUAUAGAAACUUUGCUACUGGUGUUGUUGGCAGCUUUCUUUUUUUUCCACCUCUCUCUCUCCCUACUGAUGAAGCAUAGCUGCGCUUGGAGAGAUACCUUUCCCAGCUUACUGUGUCUGUUGCCUAUAGAAGCAAAAGGAGGAGAGCGAGAGCGAGAGAGACGGUUGACGGAGGCUGCUGUGGUUCAGCCAUCCAGAAGAUAUAUGGAUCUGUCUCAUCCGUGCAGGAAAACCAUCAGCAGCACAGUGAGAGCAGGACCAUCAACUAGUGUCUAAGGAAUUAAGCAGCGCCCCUCUGCCUGUCGCAAUGCAAAACCCUGGCGUGUAAAAGAGACGAGAGGAAAGUGUACUUUCUCCUUGGAAAGCCUAGUCUUCCAGCUCAAGCGACAAAACAACAGCUGGUCUCUUUUUCUUCCAAAGCACCUGCAUCUUAGAGGGGAUGCUUCCAGGACACCUUGCAGAAAGCAGUCUAGGGUACACCUACCAAGGAGGUGUCUUGAGGGGUCACUCCUCUGCUCCUGCUUACGAUGAAAGGUAAUUGGCUGCACUUGUCAAAAUCCAACUGUUUUUAUCUCUGUGCCAAGGCUUAGUUAGAAGAAUGUGCUAUUUUAUGCAUUUGAUAUGAAAGGAGAAAAUAGACUAUCUGCCACCAAAAAAGGAAAGCUAGUACUUCCAAUUGAUGGUGCCUUUUCUUUUUCUUUUAAAAAGCAUGCAUUAAGGUAUCAAUUUUCUUGGUGUCUGUGCUUUUUCAGGGGGAAGUAAAGAGAUUAUGUGUGCUACAAAUGAGCUAAGCAAAAGUAUUGAUUUCACUAGUCAGAUUAAGCCCAGACAGCUUGUUUUGGGAACAGGCGGCCUUCAAAAACGCACUAAAUGCUACAGCAGCAGAGUGUUUUGACUAACUUUUUCUGCAAGCAGUACCGACUUAAUUUCUAGCCCCACAAAUAUUCACAAUAAUACUAUGCUGUCCACUCUAAAAAUCAUCCCAAUCUGAGAUAACCUAAAAUGCUAAAAGUGAUCCUUUUAAAAAGAUGGUUAAUUUGUUUGUGCUUGGUGAAAAUAAGACAGGAUAGGCUGACUUGUUUGUAACCGCAAGAAAGAUGUUUACUGCAGUUGCUUAGCUAACAAGAAGAGUCUUGUUAUUCAAUCUCUAGAGCUGUGGAUAAAUAAAUUGAAUUGUAGAGUUGGAAGGGACUCCAAGGGUUAUCUAGUACAGCACCCUGCAAUGCAGGAAUCAUAUCUCCCCUCUUCAUUUGUAUGUAGGGGCACUUAGGGGCAAUUAGCUCAGGAGCACAGGAAAUUGUGAUCUUUUAAAGCUUUUUAGAGUUGUGGACAACCUGCCACCCUCCAGAAGAUGUUGAAGGAAGCCUCCAACUCCCUUCAGCCCCAGCCAGUGUGGCCAACAUUUGGGGAUGAUGGGAGUUGGAAUCUAGCAACAGCUGGAGGGUUGCAGGUUCUGCAUUCUCACUAUAGAGUUAGGCAUCCAGUGAGUUGCUUAACUGAGGAGUACUUUUGCGGAAAGAUCUACAAAUCUUCGAAUAUGGGAUAAAGGUGUCAUGUUGUAGUAGUAUUCAUGGUUCUUCCUCUUUUAUCCUCACAAGCCCAUGAGGUUAAUUAAACUGAGAGAAGGUCGCUGGCCCAAGGUUACCCAGUGAGAUUCAUAACUGAGUGAGGAUCUGAACCUGGAUCUCUUCCGAGUUCAACACUGGGACUGCUAGAAUGUGUGUGUGUUUUAUUCACCAUAAACUACUUCAAGAUCUUCUGGUAGCAAAUGGUCUAUAAACGGAAACAAUAAGUAAAUAAAUAAAUAAAUAAAUACUCCCAUCAGCCCCAGAAUGACCAAUGGUCAAGCAUGAUGGGACUUGGAGUCCAACAACACUUGGACUCCUCACUCCUCAUGCAAAGUAGGACAUUUGGCUAUACUGUCCUUGGGAGAUCUGGCUCAGGGGGGUUCCAAGGCGAGUGUCUGUGGGUCAAGGCACUUCUGGUUAACAGACUCUGCCUCUGGCUCAGGAUUGGUGACAGGGUCUGGAUAAUAAUAAUAAUAAUUUUUUUAUUUAUACCCCACCCUUCCCGGUUCAAAAACUGGGCUCAGGGCCCCUAACAACAAAUUUAAAACACUUAAUUGUAAAAGCAGUAUAAAAUACAGUAUAAAAACAUGAAUAACAAUAAAAUUAAAAAUUUAGAAAUCAGUUUAGGGGAAAUAAGCAUUAGAUCAUCCCCAGGGCUAGCUGGCUGAAUUGGUCCUACUUGGGCCAGUGAGGAGGCCAGGGGAGAAUUAGCUGUGGGGUCUCAGAGCGGGUAAUCUUCAUAAAAGGGGAGCGGGAGGGAAGAGAAGGGAAAUAAAAGAUCAGGCUGAGUUCAAAUUAAAGGCUGGGCGGAAUAGCUCUGUCUUACAGGCCCGACGGAAGGAGGUUAAAUCCUGAAGGGCCCUAGUCUCAUGGGACAGAGCAUUCCACCAGGUCGGAGCCAUCACUGAAAAGGCCCUGGCCCUGGUGGAGGAUAGUCUGACUUCCUUAGGGCCCAGGACCUCUAAAUUAUGGUUAUUCAUGGACCUUAAGGUCCUCUGCGGGGCAUACCAGGAGAGGUGGCCCCGUAAAUAUGAGGGCCCUAAGCCACAAAGGGCUUUAAAGGUCAAGACCAGCACCUUGAACCUGACCCUAUACUCCACCGGGAGCCAGUGCAGCUGGAAAAGCACUGGGUGAAUAUGCUCCCAUGGCAGAGACCCUGUGAGGAGCCUCGCUGCAGCAUUCUGCACCCGCUGGAGUUUCUGGGACAGUUUCAAGGGCAGCCCCACGUAGAGCGAAUUACAGUAGGCAAGCCUGGAGGUGACCGUCGCAUGGAUCACUGUGGCCAGGUCGGGGCGGGAAAGCUAAGGGACCAACUGCUUGAUGCGGCAAAGAUGGAAACAUGUCGCCUUAGCUCUUGCUGUAACCUGUGCCUCCAUGGAAAGGGAAGCGUCAAGGAUUACACCCAAACUCUUAACAGAUGGAUCCAGCACCCUUAUGAAUUCUGUCCCUGGCCCUUCUGAUCUAGUUGAUUCCUCUGCAGAAAAGAACAUUUGCAGCGUGGGUUUAUCUGUAGCCCUACCAUGCUCCCUACAAGAACUUUACUGUUCACAAAAAGAAACUCUAUUGUACGCAAAGAAAUGGGCUCUUCGGCAAAAGAAAACAAGGAAGCCCUUGUGCAAGGAAGCAUGCACAGACUUUUCAGCUGGGUCUAUUCAUUCAAAUCGAUUUGACUCCCCCAUAAUUUAUUUGAUCCGUAUGUGCAAAGCCUCCCCUGUGGCAUUCCUUAUAAUCUUCUACAAGUCAGGAGGUGUUCUGCAUGAAGAUUCCCUCUUGCCCUCAUCACAGAGCAUUCCCUGACACAGAAGACAAGGCAGGAAGUCCAUGCACACACAUAGUUUUGUGAGCAAAUCAGAUUCUUCCCUUGCAAGGAACUGAGCAACUACUCUUAAGACUGGAGCAUAAAACGAACCACAGGCAUCCAUGCUAAACUCCCAGCCUCAUUGAAUUAUCUCCACUCCUUAAUCUCUUCCAUUUAUUAGAAGUGCCUUGUAGAGGCUCAUUAAUUUGGGGCUCUUGUUUCGUAAUUGAUUAUUACACAUGAACUUCAGGUUAAUAACUUUAGCAUAAUGCCACCUAAUUUUCAGAAGUAACAUCUGUGACGCAUAUUAUUUCAUUACCAAAAAUGGUCUGUUAGGAUUUGAUGUGAACUCUGCCUUUUACAGCAGAAAGAGCUGCAGAAGACAAGAGAGGUGGCUGUCACCACUGUCAUGCCACACACCCUCCUCUGCCAGGGGGUGCUCUGCCACCACCCAAAACUACCCUGUACCACUUCUCGCUCUUAACAAGACGUAUGGCUCUGAGCUGUGUUUCUUAUGGGUAACUCUAUAACCUGCUUCCACCCCAAAUUAUAUUUAUCUGAAUAAGUGGGUGGGGUAUAAUAAUAAUAAUAAUAAUAAUUCCCCUAAUGUUAGCAAAGUAUGAGGCAUGUGGUAUAAAGCAAUUAAUUUAUGGAAGAGGAAUCAUAAACAAUGGCUGUGCGAUUGAGGAUUGUACCUAAGCACAUAGUUUCAAUCUGUUUAUCUUAUUUGUUGCUUUAUUUUAUAUACAACAGUAGCUACUAUAAUACUGAUACUAUAUUAGAUGACUAACCCUGCUUCACAUCCGCCACCAACUCUCACACAGUCUACCACCCACCCCCAAAUGCAACUCCGUUGUCAACUCAACUCUCAACUCGACUCCAAACCCUCUCAGACUAGUAUUCAAACUCCCUUUCAAAACUCCCAACCAAUCACUGCUCACUAUCAGCAUUCCAAACUCAUCCCCUCCCUCUCAUCUUAGUUCCUCUAAUUUCUUUUUUUUAUUAAUUGCAUUUAUAUGCCACCUUUUUCUCCAAAGAGCUCAAGGUGGUUCUCUCCCCCCCCCAUUUAAUUCCCACACCAACCCUGUGAGGUAGGUGAGUCUGAGAGGCAGUGGCUGGCCCAAGAUCACCCAGUGAGUUUCAUGGCUAAGUGGAAAUUUGAACCCUGGCCCUAGUUUAACCCUUUAACCAGUACAUCACACUGGCUCUUACCUAUGCUUACCAAUGUAUUUACCUUACUUACUCUAUUGAUAUAUGUGCUUAUAAUGUACAAAAACACCUGAACCUUGCAAUCACAUUUAACCUCUCCAUAUUGCAACCCAUGUCAUGAUAUUCAAUAGGAUCCAAUUGCUUCCUCCAAUAGUAAACUCGGUACCCCUUUGCUAGUAAGGAGAAACAAGAGGGAGACACCAGGAUGCUCAAGGGAACCUUGAAGUUUGCAGAAGUACUGAAAAAACAACAACAACAACCACCUAAUGUCAACUAACCAUUUUCAGUGGCAGCUAAGGUGUAGAGGAAUGUGAAUGAGCUGGCUUGAGCCCAUCACAGUUGGGGUAUGAUGGAGAAAGGCAUGGCUGGCUGCAACUCUGAAAAGGACUCAAGCACGCUCCUGUUAGGGAGCAAUACUACAAACUUUUGUUGCAGAGCCCGUUUGCUAUCUCUACUUAACUUCUGUGUGAUGUCUGAUCACCAUAUUUAAAUGGGUACACUUAUUUAUGCCAUUUUAACGUGCAUGUGCUAGACAGUAAUUCAAUUAUCUAUGCAAGUCCUUAGAUAUCUAGUACACUGCUAGAUCUCAGAGAGUAGACACAGCAUAGUACUCUCUACCUGAGCUGUAGGAGCCACACCUUGAAGAAUGCUUAAGGAUGCUGAUGGCUGACUCCGUGCGUAUAGAAUGUGUUUAACAGUGUGUUAAAUAAGGCAAAUGGAGUUUUCUCUGGCAGGGCUAGAUUAGGUAAUUAAGAUUGUGCUUUGGAUGACUUAGACCAGGCAAAUAAUCAAAGUACUAUUACGUACAGGAGUUCUCAUGUAUUACUGCCAAGACUUACUCCUGGUUUAUGCGCUAAGGAGGGUCACAAGUUCAAACUAUAACUUUGUUCUUUGUGUCCCAAGUCUGGGCUUAACCUUCAAGAGCAUUUUUAAAACGAUGGCAAGGCUGAACUCCUCGGUAGCACAUCUUUGCUCCUGCUUCCGACAGACAUUCAUAAAAACAUCUGGGAAAGCUUAUACAUGUACAGAUUGUACAUCCAUGGGUUCCGUCGGUAUGACAGGGGGAAUAGACCAUUUGUAUGGAGCCUACACACAGAACAGUUUAUAUGUGUGAUGAAUACACAUAAGAGUGCAAGAGCAAGGACAAUGGGUGUGAUCCCAUCCCUCCUACAUGUGCUCAUUUUCAAGUGUGAACUGGAAUCUGGCCAGCCAACCUAUAUCUUUUAAUUAGUGCAGUGCAAAAGAAAAAGAGGGAUGCAGGUGGCGCUGUGGGUUAAACCACAGAGCCUAGGACUUGCCGAUCAGAAGGUCGGUGGUUCGAAUCCCUGCGACAGGGUGAGCUCCCGUUGCUCGGUCCCUGCUCCUGCCAACCUAGCAGUUCGAAAGCAUGUCAAAGUGCAAGUAGAUAAAUAGGUACCGCUCCGGCGGGAAGGUAAACAGCGUUUCCGUGCGCUGCUCUGGUUCGCCAGAAGAGGCUUUGUCAUGCUGGCCACAUGACCCAGAACGCCAGCUCCCUCGGCCGAUAAAACGAGAUGAGCGCCGCAACCCCAGAGUCAGCCACGACUGGACCUAAUGGUCAGGGGUCCCUUUACCUUUAAAAGAAAAAGUGAACAAUAAACCUUGCCCCUGAUCUUCCACCAAUUAAUGGGAGAAGAAAUUGCAUCCAACAGGGUGGGGGUGGGAAUCAGUAAAAUUUUAAUGGACUGGGUAUAGGGUUUUGGGUGUGCUUCUGUUAUUGCUGAGGUGGCUGAGAGGUGCAUGCAAGUGCCAUUAAUUUGGGUUGAGUAGACCAUUGAAGUUAAUGGAAACUGCUAAAUUAAGGACAUUAAAUUCAGCAGGCCUACUCUGAGAACUUGGUUGGAUGCAACCCUUUCAUUCUGCAAAUCAUCCCUCCUUUUGUCUGCACUAAACAGGCUUUCCUAGGGUGCUCAUGCUUCAGUCAAAGCUCAUGGGAAAAAAACCCUGAGAAAACUCCUCCUAGACAUUUUUCUCAGAUCAGGAACUGUGGACAGCAUGGGAACCUGCAGAGAACUGGACAAAUAUUUAGCCUUUGGCCACAUUGCAGUGAUAAGGAAAGCUCAAAACCCAAGGCUGAAGGAAGUUCUAAAGGAAUUUAAAAAUUACUGUGAGAAUGAAGCAGAUAAAUUGAAGCCUUAUUUGCAGAGGAAGAGAACUUAUGAGAAACUGCGAGUACAGAUUUUGGCAGCGCAGUAACUUUCCUUUUAUUACCAAGAGAUUCUCUACAAUCAAAAAGAUUAUGUGAAAGUUUGCUUAAUAAUAUAGUCUCUUUCUCUGUCUUUUUAUAUCUUUAUAGAAAUAUCAUGUUGGCUACUGGUACUGCUGUCAUUUUGGUCAUCUGAAGGUGGGAAGUGGAAAAACACCAGACUCUAGUUCUUCUGAAUAUAGUCACUGAUGUUUGCCUUCUAGUGAAGACAGGAGUCUGCUUCCAAAAGUAACCAAAGCAGACUUUUGCAAGGUAACUCAUGGAUCUGUGAGCCAUUGGGUGACACUGUUGGUAGGAGAUCCUUACCCCCCAAACUCCAUUGAGACGUUUAUUCCUUACUGAAGAGAACACAAAUAUUUUUCAGCCAGGAAGGUUUUUUUAAAAGUAGAAAAAAACCACCACCCAGAAGGAACCUUUGAUUGAUUCUGCCAUUUCCUUAGGCAAAGCCAUGUGAGAAGAUGACCCUCUGAUGAGAACUAUUCCUCUAUACAAGGCAAAGACUUCAGCCCAUCCAAUAUUGAUGCAUGAAUUACCUCCUAAUCUAAUCUUUAAAACACUAUCAAAGAAGAAGUAAGGAAUUCAUGAGUGAACAGAGAAAAUGGAAAAGGCCUGAGUAAGAAAUGACUGAGGUCUAUUUCAGAUUCCGUGGAAAUCUUACUGGUCGUGCCCACCCACCCCCAACCCUGGCUACAGGAGUGGCAAAUGCAGAUAAAUACUCCAACUUGUAUAUGUAUGUAGGGUUGUUUCUGACCCUACUGGCCAUCCUACUCAUUCUACUUUUCACCAUGCUCCUGCGUCUGAAACACGUCAUCUCCCCUAUUACCACAUCUCCAGAGAGCACCGAGAACAUCCAGCAGUUUACAGAUGUUGAAAUGCAUGGCAGGAUCCCCAGUACUUAGUGGGCUGGAGGCUGGGAAGCAACUGGUUGCAAAAAAAGAUUGUCUGUGAUGAGAAACCAAUUUCAUAUGGUGGAGCGUGUGGAGUGGAAGUUCUGGACAGCCUUGAGGGAUGCACUGGCAGAGGGUUGGCCUGGAUGGCCUUUGAGGUCCUUUCCAACUCAGUGAUUCUACAUAGAAUUCAGUUUGCCUUGGAAAUGGCAAGACAAGUAUCCAGCAAGCUUAGCUUGACACUAAGAGCUGUAAGCAGCAUGUGCUGUGAUGUUUGGUUUCAAACAACCUACAUAUAGACAUAUGGAGCUGCUUUAUAAUGAGCUGGUAUAAUCUGGCCCUGUACUCAUCGUUCUGGACUGAUAAGAGCUCUCCAAAACAGCCCAGGUGACUGGUUUUUUUGCAGGAGAAAAUAGAGGACUCCUGGACUUAACGAUGAAUAAAAGCAAUAGAAGGAACUAGCACUGUAUCAAAACCUGUUUGCCUAUUUCUCCCUCUGUGAAAGAGGUUGCAGGUUUAUCUGCCUCAUUCUCAGGACACUUGAACACUUCUUCAGAAUUCUGGUAGCUGUAGAAUUGAGACACCCUUGGGUGGUAUGGGAGCUUUUCAUUCCAAUAAACACUUCUCGGUGCUUCUGCAGCCUCCCUAGCUGCCUGUGCUUCUGAAAGAGCCCCAUGGGAGAAACUACCGUAUUUUUCGCUCUAUAAGAUGCACCAGACCACAAGACACACCUAGUUUUUGGAGGAGGAAAACAAGAAAAAAAAUAUUUUGAAUUUCAGAAGCCAAAAUAGCAAGAGGGAUCCCUGAGCAAUGAAAGUAGCAAUCCCCUUUGCUGUUCUGGCUUCUGGGAUAGCUGCACAGCCUGCAUUUGCUCCAUAAGAAGCACACACAUUUCCCCUUACUUUUUAGGAGGGAAAAAGUGAGUCUUAUAGAGCAAAAAAUACGGUACUUCAUGACUUAUUUCUGGGUUUUAAUUGAAGCAUGGGAAACCUAGGAAAACUAUUACUGAGUACCCGAGACUGCUGUGCUUACAGAUUUUAUUUCUAAGAGAUAUAUUUCCUUUUUAACCUUUCCACACUGAUUUCUUUAAAAGUACAAAGACUUCACUUUAAAAAAACCAGUUGUCAGGUGCACAGUGGGCAACCUCCUCACCUUCCCACACCUUAAGAAAAGCCCAGCUGAUGAUGUCAUGGCGUUGUCAGGAAGGGCACCCAGGAAGGCUGCAGAGCACAGACUACUGGGGAGAUGAUUUGUAGAGUGAUAUAAAGCACACUCACAAACAACUCUAGGCCACCUUGAAGGUAAGUGCAACAAAAACAUAACAAAUCUCCCCACAGAUUCUUUUUAAUGCAAUUUCUUGGGAGAAAUGCAGGAGAAUUUUUCAGUAGAGCAUGAGAAGCAAUAUAAGCAUUAACCACAAGAUUAAAUACUAUAUAGCUUCAUAGCUUUUCUUGGUUAUAACCAGAACCAGUGCAUAAUACAGUGUGAGUGAUGUAUUCUUGAAGGUCAUCUUUGCACCCAAAGAGAUUCUGUCUCUGCUAACAUGAACAGUGGCUUGGUAAUUCUGCAUGGCUCACCACAGGAAAGCAAGGAAGUCCUAAAUCUUUCUCUCUCAAGUAAUUUGCAAAAUCUAGCUUUCCUGCAAUAUACACAUUCCAGUACAGCAUUCUGUUCCAAGACCAGAACAAUUCUAAAGAAUGAGUUCCUGGUUCACUUAAACUGCAGGAGCCAAUCCCCAUUGGCUAGAUUAGUUUGUUCCACUAAAAUUAACAGGAACUGCUGUGUAUGUGUCCUAUGCACUAGGAUCUCCGGAUUGGCAAAAAUAACAUUCACACUUUUGGAUACUAAUUUGCCAAUCUAUCAAUGAGUUGGGCAACCUGCACUGGCUCCAACUGAAAAAUAAUAAUGCUAAAAUACACCCUUUCUUUAAUCCAUCUGGAUACUAUUCCCUCUAUUUCAGGUUCCUUCCCCAAAUCUUUGAGGCCUCUUGGCUUUCGAUGUGACUGUGGUACCAAUUGGUGCCUUGUGGUUUCCUCUGAAAGGACAGCCCUGCUGGAUAAAACCAAGGACCCAUCUAAUCCAGCACCCAAUUCUCAUAGUAGCCGGCCAAUGGGAAGCCCAUGAGCAGGACAUGAGCACAACAGCACUCUCCCCACUUGUGAUCCCCACCACACCCCACCCCACCCCACCCUCUUGGCAUGCCACCUCUGAUACUGGAAACAAUAAACAGCUACAAUGCUCCUGCUUCUCUCUGCCGCCCAGGUCAGACCUGGCUCAGGAGCACAGCUGAGGCUGGGUGUGAGCGCUCGCUUGGGGGCAGCAGGGGAUGGCGGCCCCCUCAAUUAUUAUUUUUUUGGGGGGGGGGAGGCUCAGCCUCCUGCCUAGAAAUAUUAAGGGAGCUGAAGCCCCUUCUGCCCCCACAGCUGGCGUUCCUCCUUGCUACUGCUGCAACUCCCUGUCCAUGUGUUCUUUUGUGUGGACCUUGUUCAUAAAAACAGACACAGGGAAUAGUAGUAGUAGUAGUAGUAGUAGUAGUAAUAAUAAUUUAUUUGUUUAUAUGCCGCCCAUCUGACAGGGUUACCCCAACCACUCUAGGCAGCUUCCAAAAAAUUAAAACACAAUGCGACAUCAAAGUGCAAGACUAGUCACCUCUUGCUGGCAAGCAAGCUGAACAAGGUGAAUGGGCAGUGACUGCAAAAAGGAAAGGAGGAGAGCCUGCGGACUCUAAAAGUGGGCAAUGGGGUCCCUUCUGGGAAAUGGGACCUGAUAAGCACCCAACAAUGCCUACCCUGAAAAUUUGACACUGCCAAAUAAAUGAAUAUACAAGGUGGAGAAAAGUCUUUCAACUAUAAUGGGUCUUGGGGGGCAGCACUCAGGAGGUUAUUCUUAGCAGGUGAGUAGAGGUAUUAUUGCAUACAAGCAUAUCUCUUUUAAAUGUUCUUUCAGAGUGAGCACCUGAAGCUUACCUAGCAACAGAAUCCAUCUGUAUAGCAGUGUGCUUAUGAAUUACACUAACUAAUCAGCUAACGCAGUCCUCUUUGUUGUUUUUUUCAUUAGAAGGUGAUAUCUGCAAAGCCAUCUGUGUUAGGUGUGUAACAUUUCAGGGACAUGAACUAAUCUCAGCUCCAUUUUGCAAUCUAGCCUAGAAAUAAAAUCCCAGAGGGUAUUCUACUAUAUAGCAUUCAUCUGCCAAUUCCCCUCUCUCCAUGAAGUGCAAAUUCCCCAAACCUGAGCCACGCUAAAAUUAGCAGUCAUACACACACUCUUGCUUAUGACAAUAACAAGACCAUGUUUCAUCCAAUGCUCUGGAAAUGAUGGUGUGUUUUGUUUUGUUUUCAAACAAAAGAUGGGUGAAUCUGUCCAUUUCAGUUUCUCCUCCCAGUUUCUCAUUUUUUUUCAGUCCUAAGUUUGGUUCUCCACAUGUCCAUAUUAGUUUGUGAUUUAUUUACUGUAUUUUUUAAAUACAAUAAAUUUACCAGCAUUUUAGUGGGAAUUUCUCCCAAUAUACACAUUUGUAUACAAUUUUGCCCAAUACACUUUUUUUUUCAAAGCAGUUUUCCCUAAAUUAAUAUGUUUGUGUAUAUUAUUUUUUACUAAUAUUUGCAUUGUCAUGCACACUUUGCUGCAGUAUACGCAGUUUUGUACAACAUUACUUGUCUGGAGAUCUGCAUUGCAAAAUUCAGAGAUGACUGGGUUUGCUUAUUGUUCUGGAAAAUUUGAAUGAGGCAGGUUUGCCUUUAAAUGCUAAUUUCCCCUCAACCACUAUUUUUAAUACACACACAUGGUUCAUUCUUGAUGGGGUGUUACUUUUCCCUUGGGAGUUUGGGCUAAUAUUGUGUAUGGGGUGGGGGACUACUAGAAUACAGCUGCUCCUAUUUAUAUCCAUAGCACCAGCUUUAUGCAACCCUUCUGAUAAGCAAUUAUCUCUGUGCAACCUAAGCUCGGUCUCCAAAGCACUGAAAGAAAGCCAAGGCCAUAGUAUCUGCUUUGCAUCCAGGUGUUCAGCACAAUGAGUUCUUUUUCAUAUACUGUAACCAUCAGAGAAUUACCUGUGAGAUUUCCCCCCACACUGUAAAUUUUAAAAAACCUGACUGUAUAUUAAACUAUAUAUUGUAUGCAGGAUUAAUACUUAACAUUGUCAGAAAUUACAAUCCUAUUUAUCAUUAUAAAUAUCCAUAUUUUCCUGUC